This 93-nucleotide transfer RNA is filed under the name Serratia ficaria. Its description in RNAcentral is "tRNA-Ala(cgc)". The record is from RNAcentral. Lineage: Bacteria; Pseudomonadati; Pseudomonadota; Gammaproteobacteria; Enterobacterales; Yersiniaceae.
CCGGUGGUGGGCAGCGUUUUGGCCGCCAGGAUCGCCCCCUGCGGCGGAUUUUCGAUAAAGGUCACGUCGGUGUGCCAGUUGUCGUUAUCCGGC